AUUGAACGCUGGCGGCAUGCUUUACACAUGCAAGUCGAACGGGCUUGGGGGCUUGCUCCCAAGUUAGUGGCGAACGGGUGAGUAAUACAUCGGAACGUACCGUGUAGUGGGGGAUAACGUAGCGAAAGUUACGCUAAUACCGCAUACGAUCUACGGAUGAAAGCAGGGGACCUUCGGGCCUUGUGCUAUACGAGCGGCCGAUGUCUGAUUAGCUAGUUGGUGAGGUAAAGGCUCACCAAGGCGACGAUCAGUAGCGGGUCUGAGAGGAUGAUCCGCCACACUGGGACUGAGACACGGCCCAGACUCCUACGGGAGGCAGCAGUGGGGGAAUUUUGGACAAUGGGCGAAAGCCUGAUCCAGCCAUGCCGCGUGUCUGAAGAAGGCCUUCGGGUUGUAAAGGACUUUUAGUCUAGGGAGCG
RNAcentral lists this ribosomal RNA (419 nucleotides) under uncultured bacterium. RNAcentral describes it as "bacterial SSU rRNA". It matches the Rfam family "Bacterial small subunit ribosomal RNA", at positions 30 to 450 of the family's 1533-position model. The record is from RNAcentral.